CAGACUGGCUGUGGGUGUCUUAGCCUGUGGUGUCAGUUACUGCAGCCAGUGGGGUCUCAGCACCUGGAGCGGGUGGGGGUCUUCAGCCCCCAGCCCCUGGGGCAGAAGCAGUGUGUGAAUCCACAAACCAGCUGCUGGGAGAUGCGGUGAGUGCGGUGAGUGCGGUGAGUGAAGGCUCUGCAUCAGCAGCUGGAGUGGGGCUGCUAGCCAUGGUCAGUGUGCAUGCUGCUGGCUUCUGGGAUUCCUACCCAAAACCAGGUUCCAACAAUAAAACUUUGAAUACUACACUACAUGCCUGAGAAGGGUAUCACAAAAAGAUGAAAGUAUCCAUGAAGCUCUGAAGAACUAUCUGAAGUAUCGAAAGAACCUGCAAAGCUUGUCACAUCUACCACCAAGAUCUUUUAAAGUGUAUAUGUUGCAUAUCUUGUGGAUCUAAAAAUGCAACAGUAGUGCUGGAAAUGUACAGUGAAGAGAGCCAAAUUGGAAGCACUCUUAUUCAUACCAUCCUUUGAGAGCAACCUCUGAAGUGAGCUAUUAGUAAAUCUCCACCAGUGUUUUCCUUCUGUAGGAAGAAGUUUCUUCCCUUGAAAAUGAAGUAAAAUAGUGAAUUAAUGUCUGUAUUUUUUGGGUAAUGACAUAAUGUUUAUUUAAUUGAGUAAAGUCUAUGCAAAUUAACCAGGAAUUUAAGUCAUUUGACCAUGUUCAGUCCAAAUCCUGGCUCUGCACUGGACUAACUAAAAAUUAAAUCAUAUGUCAGUAUUGUCUAAGUGUUUCUUGAGUUCUGUCAGGAUCUGCUUCUCUGGGUAGUCUAUUCCAAUGCUGGAUCACCAAAUAUGUAUAUCAAGGAAUCUGGAAACAGAGUACCCAAAGAGUACCCAAAGAGAUCACUACUGUUGUAUUAAUAUAAAGGAACUAAAGAGUCACUCAAGAAACUGAGAGUAUGCAGUUUCUUAAGGUACAAUUAAAUAUUAACACCUUGAUUUGCACCCAGAAGAAAAUAUAUUGCUAAUGCAUUCUUAGAAGCCCUCCAGUAAUGUGCUUGUUUUGACUACAACUUCUAAGCAAAAGAACAGCUGCUUUAUCAGCUGCAGCUGCUCCAUCUUUUCCAAAGUAGCAAAAUUUGUGUAUUUAUGCAGUAUGAAAGCCAGAAAAAUAUCAGUGCUUGUGUACAUCUUUACAUAAUGACUACUUAUUAUAAUUUGUGUCAGAUCCACAUAAAUACAAAUCUAAAUAGAAUCAUCAAGCAGACAGAAGAAUCCUAAUGCUGCAAAUUUCUCUCACAAAAGAAAAAAUUUAUCAUACAAACAUUGUCAGUAAAGUAUGAUCAAGGUACUAUUUUUUUUUUUUUUCUUCAAUAUACUAGUAUCAUUGUAACU
This is a long non-coding RNA of Numida meleagris (helmeted guineafowl), 1376 nucleotides long. RefSeq lists it as uncharacterized. NCBI's taxonomy places the organism in Eukaryota, Metazoa, Chordata, Aves, Galliformes, Numididae. The transcript is spliced from 3 exons. The record is from RefSeq and is a predicted model, not a curated record.